ACUAGAGUUGGUUGGCUACUGUGAGAAGAAGGAAGGGUCGGUGCAUAGAGGAGAUGCCAAUAAGAAACAUCAAGGAGGAUAUCAAAAAAAGACAUUGUGAUCAUAGGUGCAGAUUUGCUGGUGGAAACCAGAUACAAGGGGAAACAAAGGUCCCACCGUAAAGGACUAAGUAGAGAAGACCCCAGAUCCUCAGAGAAGCAGCUGGGAAGCCGGGCAAUCCCCACAGUGGGGAUAACCACACCACUCAUCCCAGGCAGGUGUUCCUGGCACAAACCAUCCCACUGCUACAAUGGGCAGUUUUCUCUCUGCUUGGUUGGAUCUGUCACUGUCUCCAGCAGGAAACAUAGCUGUAACUCAGGAAGGGUUUAAAUUAUCUUCUUGUUCACUGGAAAUAGAAGAAACCUCAAGCUGACAUGUUUCUGAAGAAGAAUUCCAAGGGAUGCAUACUUCAUACCAGAGAACCACAGAAACCAGAAAGAAAAAAAAAAAAAAAAAGAAAAAUUCCUAACUAAUUCUAAAGUCUUCACUGUCCCAAAUUAAAGGGAAGCAGAAAAUUAUUAGCUUUGUUAUCUAUUUACUAGCACUAUUUACUGUCACUCGUGUUUUAAAACUGUGGUAUCAAACACACUGGGGCACCUUGCUGUCAUGCUAAUGAGCUGCCUUGUCACAUCUAUCAUAUAGCUUAUACUUCAAGAAAGAAAAAAAAUCAGACACAUGGUUUGUAAAUAUAUGCACAAGCUACUGCAGGACCUCAAGGAAAUGUACACUGUGGAUGAUUAUAGAGACAUGACUGUUUACCACCUGAACUGUCUCCUCUGGGUUUUAACAGUGGAAUUACAUCUCAAAAGCUGUCUUCUCUACAUGAGUAACUACAAAACACUGUAACACUCUUCUUUUUCCUGCAUGUUAGCAUCACCAUUCUCCGAAAGCAGAGAAGGUUCUGCCUUCUCCCAGCUUUCCUGAAGGCAUUGUCCAGGGACAAACCUUGAGCCUGAACAGUUGUUGAGCUUAAUAAUCUGUUACUUCCAUAGCUUGGGAGCAAAUAUGACAAGUUCUACAGGAAGCCAUAAUGCACCAUACAUGUGCUGGCUGAACCCUACAGAGGUGAAGCCAAUGUCAGCAGUGUCACCUCCUUUGCAAACAGCUCAGUAACCUCUCAACAAACAAACAGCUGGGCCACCCCAUCUACCAGCACUGCCACCCAGCAGAAAUGGGUGACUGGUUCUUCCAGUUUCUGGCAAACCAGAAAUAUGUUGCAGAUACAUGAAAAGGUGAGGGUAAGGAGCUGCCUUCCCACCUAGGAUCAAUAGGAAUCUUGAGCCUGGAUACACAUCCCCACCCACACAGACAAACAGCAGCUCCAGCUGGUAAGAGAGCACAUCACCUGCUGAAACCAUUUGGGCUGUUGUACUGCGGCUGCCCAGGAGAAAGGCACGUACUGCUCUACUCCCUGUGCUGGGAAAAGGAGUGAAGAGGAGGAGGGUGCUAGGAAUCCCUUCUUGGAAGUGUGGGAGAUGUUAUGGACCUGGAAAAGAGCAAGGCGCAAAGCUUUCCUGUGGCCUGAGCAACAACUGAAGUAUAACUUCUUGAAUAAUCCUGAUACAAGAUCUCAUUUUCAAAUGUUGAUGGGUGACUCUCCUGCUGAUCUUCACUUUUUAGAAGUCUGCUGUGGAUUUUGUUGGACAUGGAUAUUGCAAAAAGUUGCUCAGGUAAAGAACUGGAAGGUGAAGAAAAUGCCAUGUAUGGAGCAGAUUUAACUGGACUGGAAAUUCACUUGAGAUAACUGUUAAUAUUGCAAACCUUAUGAAAUUAUUAUAAGUUGUAGCACUCAAUAAAUAUAGGCAACUAAAGCUUCAACUCCUUUUCUACUCUAAAAUACCUUGCUUCCAAUAUAACAGUAUCAUUUCUUCAUUAUUGAAUGACCCCAAAUAAUAGUGUUUCAUAUACAAAAUAUAUAGGUACUGGUCUAAGUACCUAUAAGACUCAGCUUCUUCUAAGCCUAUGACCAUUGAAAAUGUCAAAGUAUCUCCUAUUAGCAUCCUUCCUAUUUCAGGCUUUCAACA
Long non-coding RNA from Zonotrichia leucophrys gambelii, 2063 nucleotides. RefSeq lists it as uncharacterized. NCBI's taxonomy places the organism in Eukaryota, Metazoa, Chordata, Aves, Passeriformes, Passerellidae. The record is from RefSeq and is a predicted model, not a curated record. The transcript has 5 exons.